CCUACGGGUGACAGCAGUGAGGAAUAUUGGUCAAUGGACGAGAGUCUGAACCAGCCAAGUAGCGUGAAGGAUGACUGCCCUAUGGGUUGUAAACUUCUUUUAUAAAGGAAUAAAACGAGGAACGUGUGCCCUUUUGCAUGUACUUUAUGAAUAAGGAUCGGCUAACUCCGUGCCAGCAGCCGCGGUAAUACGGAGGAUCCGAGCGUUAUCCGGAUUUAUUGGGUUUAAAGGGAGCGUAGAUGGGUUGUUAAGUCAGUUGUUAAAGUUUGCGGCUCAACCGUAAAAUUGCAAUUGAUACUGGCAGUCUUGAGUACAGUUGAGGUAGGCGGAAUUCGUGGUGUAGCGGUGAAAUGCUUAGAUAUCACGAAGAACCCCGAUUGCGAAGGCAGCUUACUAAACUGUGACUGACAUUGAUGCUCGAAAGUGUGGGUAUCAAACAGGAUUAGAUACCCCUGUAGUC
This 460-nucleotide ribosomal RNA is filed under the name uncultured bacterium. RNAcentral describes it as "partial 16S ribosomal RNA". It matches the Rfam family "Bacterial small subunit ribosomal RNA", at positions 338 to 795 of the family's 1533-position model. The record is from RNAcentral.